Molecule: long non-coding RNA, 6083 nt
Filed under: Triticum aestivum (bread wheat)
Lineage: Eukaryota; Viridiplantae; Streptophyta; Magnoliopsida; Poales; Poaceae
Description: long non-coding RNA (TAES_LNC011320)
Source: RNAcentral
AAUUAGUUUCUGAUAAGUUACGGAAAGUAACUAGUAGAUAACUUUUCACAUAAAUAACUUAUGCAAACACAUGGUUGUUUCCCAUUGAUCUCUUACUGAAACAACUAUAAGAAACACCACAAAUGAAAAGUGAUGAGGUAACGUUUGAAGACAUAUCACCUCUGGAGCCCCUCAAAUCCACUACACUAAAUUGGAGCACACCAUGCUGAGAAAAAAUAAUGAAGGGAUUGGCUGCAAUUACACUAUGUGAUGUUCUCAUUCUAGCUGAAGACACUCAUGCUGAAUCGCAGAUGCAGCAAAGAGAGUAGGCGUCGUAUGGUCGCUCUGUAGCCAAUUCAUCGCCUCUCUUGAUGGCAUGGAUCCCUGCAGCCAAACCAAGGUGCAAUAAUUUCUCAAAUAGAGGUAACUGGUGACAGCUAAAACUUUAGAAAAUAAUUAAAUAUCACAAACAAAUAUAAUUUGAACGUUGUGAUUUAUACCAACAACUGCAGGCUGAUGCAUACGUAAGCGAAAUACCUACGGUUGGCAGCACAUGAGAAAUAGUACCUAGGCAUAAAAAAUGUGAAGCAAAAGUAUACCUUGUGAUUUCAUUAUAGAAGCCGAACCAUAUCCAUUAAUCAAGAAGUUAACCUUGCAAGCCAUAAUAACUAUUUGCCUACAUCAUAAAUUUUCAGAUGUUGAAAUCCCUAUCGAUAUUAAGAAGCACAUAAUACAUACAUGGAAGAUACAUCACACAACACAGGUUCAGUAUUAACAAAUCGAUUUGGUAAGCUAUACUGGAUGGGAAAGAAAGCAAAGCAAACCCAUGGCCUCCUUUUACCCCAAAAGUUAGCCAAAGAUGUUGGAAUGUGAGGAGUAAUAGAUAAGCUUGAUGAAGGGUUGCGUGAGAUUCACCACGAAACAAAUCCAGCACCACCACAUCCAUACAUUCUAGAAUUUGUACAUGACCCCGAUCCAUAUACCAAUCACUAAAAAAUAUGAAAAAGUAACGUCAUGUAAGUAAUACACAUAUGCAUCUCUUCCACAACAAAACACAUAGGCCUUCAGGCGAACAACUCAGGCGUGGGCAUGGAGAUCUGAACAAAUAAAUAACAGGACCAACUUCAUCUUCCUGCUCAUACAUACUUUGUGAUAGAGGCACUAUUUCGAUUGGGAUCAGGCAGCCUUAUCAGUACUUGGCAUCGGUAUGGCUCCAUCAGGGCUGCAAAACUACACCUGCGGGCCACAGCGUAACAACAAAUUUCAGAUGGGAUUUUGUGGAGGGGAACAACGAAAAGGAGAACAGGGCGGUCCUCACUAGGUUUCUUCUAGUGGUCGCUUUAGUUCCUGCGACUCUGCGAGGCCGUGACGCGAGCGGGAAUCGGGAGCACCAAACCAACCCAAAUCGAUGGUUGUCGAGCAGCGGCAGCCGCCCGCAGUGGCUGGACGGAGCUACAUGUGGUUGCGGCGUCCUAUUUGGCAUGGACUGGCGAGGACUGGAGGUGGCGUCGCGCAGUGCAGGCAGAUUUGAUAGGUAAGCCAAGAAGACGGAGCGGGGUGGCCGGACUCGAUGGGAAUUAAAGGAGGAGUAGUGGAAGUGGAAAGGGAAGGCGCAUCAGGCUGUGUUGGUGUGCGUUUUUUGGGAUGUGAGGAGCCGAGGAAGGUAGAGAAAGGUGGAUGGAUUGCGGGAGGACGGUUAACUCGUGAGCUGCAGGUCUAGCCACUCAUAGUCAAUCAAACGGGUGAACACAUUUGUAGUGACGUGGAGGAUUGUGAGGCCAGGAAAAUCAGCUAGUGGGGGCUCCUAUUUAGAUAUAGAAGAUUUCAUAUGGGAUUUUGUGGAGGGGAACAACGAGAAGGAGAACAGGGCGGUCCUCACUAGGUUUCUUCUAGUGGCUGCUUUAGUUCCUGUGACUCUGCGAGGCCGUGACGCGAGCGGGAAUCAGGAGCACCGAAACCAACCCAAAUCGAUGGUUGUCGAGCAGCGGCAGCUGCCCGCGGUGGCUGGACGCAGCUACAUGAGGUUGCGGCGUCCUAAUUGGCAUGGACUGGAGGAGGCGUCGCGCAGUGGAGGCAGAUUUGUUAGGUAAGCCAAGAAGACGGAGCGGGGUGGCCGGACUCGAUGGGAAUUAAAGGAGGAGUAGUGGAAGUGGAACGGGAAGGCGCAUCAGGCUGUGUUGGUGUGCAUUUUUUGGGAUGUGAGGAGCCGAGGAAGGUAGAGAAAGGUGGAUGGAUUGCGGGAGGACGGUCAACUCGUGAGCUGCAGAUUUAGCCACCCAUAGUCAAUCAAACGGGUGAACACAUUUGUAGUGACGUGGAGGAUUGUGAGGCCAGGAAAAUCAGCUAGUGGGGGGCUCCUAUUUAGAUAUAGAAGAUUUCAGAUGGGAUUUUGUGGAGGGGAACAACGAGAAGGAGAACAGGGAGGUCCUCACUAGGUUUCUUCUAGUGGCCGCUUUAGUUCCUGUGACUCUGCGAGGCCGUGACGCGAGCGGGAAUCGGGAGCACCGAAACCAACCCAAAUCGAUGGUUGUCGAGCAGCGGCAGCCGCCCGCGGUGGCUGGACGGAGCUACAUGUGGUUGCGGCGUCCUAUUUGGCAUGGACUGGCGAGCACUGGAGGAGGGGUCGCGCAGUGGAGGCAGAUUUGUUAGGUAAGCCAAGAAGACGGAGCGGGGUGGCCGGACUCGAUGGGAAUUAAAGGAGGAGUAGUGGAAGUGGAAUGGGAAGGCGCAUCAGACUGUGUUGGUGUGCGUUUUUUGGGAUGUGAGGAGCCGAGGAAGGUAGAGAAAGGUGGAUGGAUUGCGGGAGGACGGUCAACUCGUGAGCUGCAGAUCUAGCCACCCAUAGUCAAUUAAACGGGUGAACACAUUUGUAGUGACGUGGAGGAUUGUGAGGCCAGGAAAAUCAGCUAGUGGGGGGCUCCUAUUUAGAUAUAGAAGAUUUCAGAUGGGAUUUUGUGGAGGGGAACAACGAGAAGGAGAACAGGGAGGUCCUCACUAGGUUUCUUCGAGUGGCCGCUUUAGUUCCUGUGACUCUGCGAGGCCGUGACGCGAGCGGGAAUCAGGAGCACCGAAACCAACCCAAAUCGAUGGCUGUCGAGCAGCGGCAGCCGCCCGCGGUGGCUGGACGGAGCUACAGGUGGUUGCAGCGUCCUGUUUGGCAUGGACUGGCGAGGACUGGAGGAGGCGUCGCGCAGUGGAGGCAGAUUUGUUAGGUAAGCCAAGAAGACAGAGCGGGGUGGCCGGACUCGAUGGGAAUUAAAGGAGGAGUAGUGGAAGUGGAACGGGAAGGCGCAUCAGGUUGUGUUGGUGUGCGUUUUUUGGGAUGUGAGGAGCCGAGGAAGGUAGAGAAAGGUGGAUGGAUUGCGGGAGGACGGUCAACUCGUGAGCUGCAGAUCUAGCCACCCAUAGUCAAUCAAACGGGUGAACACAUUUGUAGUGACGUGGAGGAUUGUGAGGCCAGGAAAAUCAGCUAGUGGGGGGCUCCUAUUUAGAUAUAGAACAUCAGCGAUUUGGCUCCCGAGCUCAGGCAUGAACACUAAAAUCAUUUACAAUACUAGAAUUUUUUUUAAAAAUCUGAUUUUUUUUUGUGCUUAAAGAUGAUUGAAUGUGUGAUGUUCGUGCUAAAUUUGAGAACGUUUGGAUAUCUGAGAAGCUCUCAGAAAAAAAAGACAAAAAUAGGGUCUGCAAAAAAGUUUACUGUCUUGUACUGUUUAGACCUGAUUUUGUCUUUUUUACCGAGAGCUGCUCAAUUGCCCAAAUGCUCCGAAAUUUGGCACAAACAUCACACACUCAUGCAUCUUUCACCAGAAAAACUCGGAUUCUUUUGAACUUUUUACUAUUUUUUAAAUUUUACUAUUCACUGGGUACAUCUAAGCUCGGGUUCUGGAUUAAAUUAUCGAAUACUUGUAUGUUAUGGUAGAAUUUUUUAGGUGCUUUGGAAACACAAAAAUUGUGUAACAAAAACAAUAUUAGAGCGUCUACAGCCGGGCAUAGCAAAUAUGACCCCUUAAACGCCAGCAGACGCGCCCAGUCAGUGAUCGGGCGGUCCGUUUUGAGCCCCUGUUUGUCCGGCCCGCGCAACCACACUCCUCAUUUUCUUCCUCAUAUGUCCGGUCACUUGUAUAUGAUUGGUGCAGAUGAAAAGAGAGAAAGAAAAUAAUGAAUAAAGAAAGAGAAAAGGUGAUCCGGGAUGGGGCCGCGUCCUACGUGACAGACAGACUGGACGCUCCAGGGCACAUCCGCGAGCCCUCACAUUCGGCCUACAUUUGAGAUAGAUAUGAGGGUUCGCGGGCAGGCCAAACGUAUAGGGAUGAUAUGAGGAAUACGGUUUGGUCACGUUUUUCCUUCUCUCUGUCCGGUCAUUGACCGAGCGUGUCCACACACAUAUGAGAAGUGGUUUGAGGCGCCCGGCUGUAGAUGUUCUUAAUGUUUGGUGAAAACAUUUGCCUCAUAAAACAAAUCGUGUGGAUGCACCAGCAAGAAUAUACAUUUAGGUCGAAAAUGUCAAAUGAAGACCGAGCUUCAUGGAGGCCUUUAUUUGAAAACAUCAAAAUUCAAACUUUUCAGUUUCUAAAAAUUCUAAAAAUAAAUACAAAUAUACCUAGAUACAUAAUGUACAUGUGUGCAAAUUUUCAGGUCGAAAUACAUUAAAACUGAGCUACACAAAAAAGACAAAUUUGAGGCUUUUUAGCAUAUGUACUGUUCAUCUUUAAAGUCCAUGUUUUUUUUUGUGCAGCUCACAAUUCAAGGUAUUUCAUCCUGAAAUUUUUCACACGUACACUUUACAUCCUUACAUGCAUGUGUAUAUUUUUUCAGAUUUUUUUUGAAUCCAAAAUUUAUGAAUUUUGAAUUUUUUGAAAUAAAGGGUGCUAUGGAGCUCGGUCUCCAAAAUGCCCUACUCCAUUUAGGUUUACUAUUAGACGGUCUCCAGCCAAGGAGGAAGCUAGCGAUCACUCUCAAACCGGCUGUAUUUUCCAUUUCUUGAAGCCACGUAUAUAUGUUCAAACUUCCCUUUUUGGUAGCUUUUUCAGAUGUUGUGUGCCAACUUUCAGCAAAUCGCUACCUCAACUUUUGGAAUUUUAAAGUUUUGAAAUUUCAUAACAAAAUAUUCAAACUAUGAGAAAAAAAUGUAAACAUUUAGUUUUUUUUUUAAAAACUUUAGCUAUUUUAGAGAAGCUAGGAUAGAGCGCAUAUGGAUGGCCUACCUUCAAAAUUCACAUGCGAGAGAGAAAAGGCGAAUGGAGAAAACACAUGGGUGGGAUCCCAUCAUGUCUUGCCUGCAUGUUCCCGUGGCGAUCGACUGUAGGCACGAUCACCUGGCAAUCUCGUAUACAUUGACAGAAUUUCAUUUGAUACCUAGCCAACAUCGUUGCAUGCACUGAAUCAGAUGUUCUUGGGUGAGCUCCACACGCACGACGAGUUCUCCAUCGUCAAAAGGCAACCACUGAUAUAGAGAGGUGCCUUGUCCCGACUGCAUCACACUUCAAGGUGGACGCGGUCCGGGCCGGUCCGGUCCCUGACCGAGCCUCCUUUGGACCGGCCGAAACUGGCCCGGACCGGACCGGACCGAGGUCAGAUGCGGUCCUGUUUCCUAGGACCGGACCGCCUGUGCCUCAGCUCGGUGCGGACCGAAGGGACCGACUGGACCGAAUACAGUUUGUGCGUGGGAGUGCGCUGGGAGCCUUUUUAGAACUCUUUUGACAACAAAUUUGAACAUACAGAUUAUUAGGUUGCAAAAGAGGUUCAAAUGGACGAAAAAUAAGCAAGUUUGCAACAAAAACAACACAGGAAUGUGUCCAACUGAAGAAAGUUCAGAGAGACAGAGACUGAACAAAUACCAACUGCAGAAAGUUCAGAGGGACUGAACAAUUAUCAACUGAAAAAAUUUCAGAGAGAAGGAACAAGUACAAACUGUAGGCGAGGACAUGCAGGACUCCAGGUGCACGUGCAGCAGCUCCGUCCCCUGCGUCCUCCAGCUUCGUGCUCGACGGUGGCUUACAGGCGAGGAGGUGGUCGAAGACGGGUAGGUGGAGACAGCGACGGUCGACGACGACGUGCAAACGUGACGCUCCCUCCAUGGCUCCUCCACUCCUCCUUUCAUUGCG